RNAcentral lists this unclassified non-coding RNA (329 nucleotides) under soil metagenome. Its description in RNAcentral is "partial contains 5.8S ribosomal RNA, internal transcribed spacer 2, and large subunit ribosomal RNA". The stretch from base 1 to 120 matches the Rfam family "5.8S ribosomal RNA", at positions 35 to 154 of the family's 154-position model. The record is from RNAcentral.
GAUGAAGAACGUAGCGAAAUGCGAUAAGUAAUGUGAAUUGCAGAAUUCAGUGAAUCAUCGAAUCUUUGAACGCACAUUGCGCCCUCUGGUAUUCCGGGGGGCAUGCCUGUUCGAGCGUCAUUAUAACCACUCAAGCUCUCGCUUGGUAUUGGGGUUCGCGGUUUCGCGGCCCCUAAAAUCAGUGGCGGUGCCUGUCGGCUCUACGCGUAGUAAUACUUCUCGCGAUUGAGUUCGAUAGGUCUUCUUGCCAGUAACCCCCAAUUUUUACAGGUUGACCUCGGAUCAGGUAGGGAUACCCGCUGAACUUAAGCAUAUCAAUAAGCGGAGGA